GAGUUUGGCUUCAGAUGAUGUCAUGUUUAGCUUCAGAUGAUGUCAUGCCUGCUGGGUAAUGCUCCUUCCCAGUCUGUGAACCUGAGGCUGAGCAGAAAAUACAGAGCAAUAUCAAGAUGUUCCUCCAGGCAGGAAGUCCAGUAGUUCUUAGCAUACAUGAUGACUGUCAUCUACACCAGAGCUUUCUAAACUUUUCAUGUUGAAUUCAUGGCUUAUAAAUCAUAGCUGAAGCACAGGCA
This is a long non-coding RNA of Hyla sarda, 239 nucleotides long. RefSeq lists it as uncharacterized. The record is from RefSeq and is a predicted model, not a curated record. The transcript has 3 exons. NCBI's taxonomy places the organism in Eukaryota, Metazoa, Chordata, Amphibia, Anura, Hylidae.